GUGCCGAGUUCUCCAUUUCCGGUUCUGAUGAUCACUGGACUCAUUCCUGGAAUCAUAUUUAUUUUCCUCCUGUUCCUGUUCCUGUACAAAAAGGUCUACAGAAAGAAAGUUCUGCCGAUGACCAGAGGGUGAGUCAGGAUGAAAAUCAACAACAAGUCUACUCCUCUCUUCUUCAUGGUGAUCGUUCUGUCUAUGAAACAAUCAGAGGCUCUGGAAAUACUCAAAAUGCUGGGUGACCUGUGUGCUGUAGGUCCAGUGGCUCCUUCUUGUGGAAAGUCAGCGAUUCUUUCUAUCGAAAGUGGGUGAGCUAUGAGAAGUGACAGUAGUUUGAGCAUCUCCUUUCCUAUAACUCAGUGGUUCCCAAACUUUUUUUUCUAGACCCCCUGUCACAGGCUGGGUCUCUGACCCAGCGCUCUGAGUUCAUGUUUGUAUUUGUCUCAUUUUGUUAUAUGAUUUAGUUUGUGUUAUUUCCUAUCUGCCUUUAGUUUAGGCAGUUAUUGUUCCUGGGUUUUCUAUGUUUUGGGGUUUUGUAUUUAUUCAUCACGUAUUAGGUCUGUUAAGUUGUGUUGUCAUGUUUAGUUUUAGUAUUUCCUGUUUUAUUUUGACAAUGUCAUGUGUUCUUUGUUCAUUGUAUUUAGCUUUCCUCUCCUGGUCCUGUCAUUAGGUUUAUGUCUGUCAGCUGUUCCCCAUGUGUCCCCACUUCCCCUGAUCACCUCAUGUCUGUAUUUAAGCCUUUUGUUUUCUUCAUGCCAUUGUCGGUUCGUCUGUUUACCUCAGCCAUAGUUCUAGUUUUCGUCUGUUAAUUCCACGUUAGUCUUAGUCUGUUUAUUCUGCCCUAGUUCUAGCCUGGUUCUGUUUAUUUUGACCUCGGUCUUAGUUAUGGUUUUCAUCUGUUAUUCAUCAUUAGUCUUAGUCAUAGUAUUUGCUGGUUAUUUUCCAUCACAGUCAUAGUUUAGGUUUUGGUCUCAGUACCGUUUAGUGUUUUGUUUCUUAGUGUUUUGUCAGUUUACUUUGGUUUCCUGGUUUACUUCUGCCGUCAUCUAAUAAAGGAUCACUUUUCUGCUCAAACUUUCAACUACUCGUCAUCAUCUGCUUUUGGGUCCUGUUUCCACACACAUCGGCGCACCCCGC
Molecule: long non-coding RNA, 1131 nt
Organism: Haplochromis burtoni (Burton's mouthbrooder)
Lineage: Eukaryota; Metazoa; Chordata; Actinopteri; Cichliformes; Cichlidae
Exons: 4
Source: RefSeq, a predicted model, not a curated record